UAGUAUACAAUCGGUGACUCAUUGUCAUAUUUAUCCUGAUACCAGAUUCGAAUUGACGCAAAUCUAACAAUUGGUGACCCCGAACUAACAAUUGGUGACCCCGAACGUGAUCUGGUGAAGGAUUUCGCUGGACAUUGGUGUGCCAGCCGAUUGGCCAGUACUGUUGUCGGACGGUGUGUCUCACAAAUCCUGACCGGUCAACUAAAAAAGGAGGCGGAUCACUGUCAGUUGCAGUAGACUCCGAAACUUGCUACCCAGGAUCCCAGGCAUCCAGGGUGACCUAGUGACUGUGCUAGAGAUGACCAUCGCCUAUCUGGAUCACAUCCAGGAGUUUGUCACGGGCCACCAGUGCAGUGAUGUCAAUGCUCAGGUUUGGUUCCCACCAGAGAACCUCUACCAUGGCUGGCUGAUGGAAACAAGCCUGAAAAGGCAGAAAUGUCAGAAGCGGCUUGUUUUUGAAGUGUAAAAGAAACAUAAAUGUCAAACAACUAGGUCGAAAAACAUGGGUUUCUAUUGAAAUGCCAAACCAAUAUUGUAUUGUGUGUCAAUGUGUAAUGAUGCAUGAACAUUUUGGCCUAUUUUUUAGUCUGAAAGAAAACAUCUCACUGCUGUUGGUGGAAGAAGGCAAAAGAGGAAGGGUGAGCUUGAAUACCUAAUGGGAAUUGAGCUGCCUAAUCCUGAAAUGGGUUUAUGGCUAAUUUGUCUGUGUGUUACUUUGAUAGUCUGACCUCCAUUCACAAUGCUCAAAUCUAUAACAUUUUGUCACAGGCACAGUACAUGAAGUUGACGGGCAGACUAUUGUGUUUCUAUAUGUAUGAGUGAUUCAUAAAACUAUAUCAUUAAAACAUUUUACGGCAGUGAGAAAAAUCAGGGUAACACAGAGUGAUUCUUGGUGGUCUUAAACAAAUCUACUUUGGAACAAAAAUAUAUACCUCACACACAUAGUUAUGGGCUUAAAAUACACCUGUGCCAUGUC
This is a long non-coding RNA of Oncorhynchus gorbuscha (pink salmon), 976 nucleotides long. RefSeq lists it as uncharacterized. The record is from RefSeq and is a predicted model, not a curated record. Lineage: Eukaryota; Metazoa; Chordata; Actinopteri; Salmoniformes; Salmonidae. The transcript has 3 exons.